This 255-nucleotide ribosomal RNA is filed under the name Pseudomonas sp. PDM08. RNAcentral describes it as "partial 23S ribosomal RNA". It matches the Rfam family "Bacterial large subunit ribosomal RNA", at positions 1056 to 1312 of the family's 2925-position model. Lineage: Bacteria; Pseudomonadati; Pseudomonadota; Gammaproteobacteria; Pseudomonadales; Pseudomonadaceae. The record is from RNAcentral.
UGGUUAAGUGGGAAACGAUGUGGGAAGGCUUAGACAGCUAGGAGGUUGGCUUAGAAGCAGCCACCCUUUAAAGAAAGCGUAAUAGCUCACUAGUCGAGUCGGCCUGCGCGGAAGAUGUAACGGGGCUAAAACCAUACACCGAAGCUACGGGUAUCACUUAGGUGAUGCGGUAGAGGAGCGUUCUGUAAGCCUGUGAAGGUGAGUUGAGAAGCUUGCUGGAGGUAUCAGAAGUGCGAAUGCUGACAUGAGUAACGA